GACCUUGUGGAUCGGGGCAGAUCAUCUUGCGAAUGUAGAGCGAUGGCCAGGGCGUACUGUAUAACGAGAAGUUGCAGGUUCAACUCCUGCCGAGGUCA
Non-coding RNA from Roridomyces roridus, 98 nucleotides. NCBI's taxonomy places the organism in Eukaryota, Fungi, Basidiomycota, Agaricomycetes, Agaricales, Mycenaceae. The record is from the annotation of a GenBank genome assembly.